GACAGAGGGUGCGAACGUUGUUCGGAAUUACUGGGCGUAAAGCGCGUGUAGGCGGCAGCGCAAGUCGGGCGUGAAAUCCCACGGCUCAACCGUGGAAGUGCACUCGAAACUGCGCAGCUAGAGUCCUGGAGAGGAAGGUGGAAUGCUUGGUGUAGAGGUGAAAUUCGUAGAUAUCAAGCGGAACACCGGUGGCGAAGGCGACCUUCUGGACAGUGACUGACGCUGAGACGCGAAAGCGUGGGGAGCAAACAGGG
Molecule: ribosomal RNA, 254 nt
Filed under: uncultured bacterium
Lineage: Bacteria
Description: partial 16S ribosomal RNA
Rfam family: Bacterial small subunit ribosomal RNA
Source: RNAcentral